RNAcentral lists this ribosomal RNA (506 nucleotides) under uncultured bacterium. RNAcentral describes it as "partial 16S ribosomal RNA". It matches the Rfam family "Bacterial small subunit ribosomal RNA", at positions 28 to 523 of the family's 1533-position model. The record is from RNAcentral.
GAUGAACGCUAGCUACAGGCUUAACACAUGCAAGUCGAGGGGUAACGAGAGGAAAGCUUGCUUUCCUUGUCGACGACCGGCGCACGGGUGAGUAACGCGUAUCCAACCUGCCCCCAACUAAGGAAUAACCUUGCGAAAGUAAGACUAAUACCUUAUAAUUUCCUCAGAUGUCAUCUGACGAGGAAUAAAGAUUUAUCGGUUGUGGAUGGGGAUGCGUCUGAUUAGCUUGUUGGCGGGGUAACGGCCCACCAAGGCAACGAUCAGUAGGGGUUCUGAGAGGAAGGUCCCCCACAUUGGAACUGAGACACGGUCCAAACUCUUACGGGAGGCAGCAGUGAGGAAUAUUGGUCAAUGGGCGAAAGCCUGAACCAGCCAAGUAGCAUGCAGGAUGACGGCCCUAUGGGUUGUAAACUGCUUUUAUACAGGAAUAAAGUUAGCCACGUGUGGUUAUUUGUAGGUACUGUAUGAAUAAGGACCGGCUAAUUCCGUGCCAGCAGCCGCGGUAA